NNNNUUUUAUUAUUAUUAUUAUUAUUACCUGUUUUAUUAUUAUUAUUAUUACCAGUGUUAUUAUUAUUAUUAGUGCCAUUUUCUAUGUCAUUAUUAUGGUUAUAUUUUUUCAUUACUCUUGUUUUGUUGAUAUAUGUUAAAGUAGUACCUAUACCAGUUUGAACUGCUUGUCUAUUUGGAGUUUUUCCAUUUAAAUUUUUCUCGUUUGUACUGUCAUUUGUUAAUUCUUUUAAGUCUGUAUAUUGAACACUGCCCUUUUUUUGAAUAUAAUUAUUUUUUAACUCAUUUACGUCUGUGUGUUUGUUUCUACUUUUUUUUUUUAAAUGACUAUUUUUUUUAUGUAACUCUUUCAGUUCAUCAUAUUUUUCAAACAUUUGUGUUUUUGUUGUGUCAUAUAGAUUGGUCAAGUUUGGAUAAUAUUCGUCAGAUGAAGAAGAUUGUUUAGUAUUAUGAUCAUUUUGAUUAGUAACAAAAUCUGAAUAAAAAUUAUUUGUUUGAUCUGUUUUACAACUUUUUAGACUUAUAAAAUUUUGAUUAAAUAUUUCAUUUUCUUUUUUUAAAAAUUUAUUUUCAUUUUGUAAUGAUGUAAUUUUUUUUUUUUUUUUUCUGAUUUGUUCAUUUAAAUUUUCAUUUUGUUUAAUUAAUUGAUCAUUACUGAUAUUACAUUCUUGUAUAAACAUUUUUAAUGAGUUUAUUUUUUUUUCUAACAUUUCAUUUUUUUUUAUUACUUUUUUUUUAUUUAAUUCAAUUUCUUUUUUUUUAUUUAGUAACUCUUCAUAUACAUUUUUUACUAACAAUAUAUCAUUAAGCAUGUUUUCAAUAUUUUCUUUUUGUUCGUUAAUAUUUUUAUUUAGUUCAAUUAUAUCUGUUUCAUGUUUUUUUAUUUCAUUUUUUAAUUUUUCGUUUUUAUUUUUUUCUUCGUUUAAUUCUUUUUUUAAUUGUUCUUUAUCAUUGUUUAAACAAUCUAUUUGUUUUUUAUGUUCUUUUAUAUUUUCUCUGAAAGUAUUAAUCGUGUCUUCUUUUUCUUUUCUCAUAGUGUUUAUUAACUCGUUUAGUUUUGCUAUUUUUUGUGUGGCUAUUUCCUCAUUCGCCUGUUUAUCGUUAUUUAUUUUCUUUAUUUCCUGUUCGUAUUUGUUUAUUUCCUGUUCGUAUUUGUUUAUUUCUUGUUCGUAUUUGUUUUUUUCAUUUUUGUAUUUGUUUAUUUCCUGCUCGUAUUGGAUUAUUUCAUUUUUAUAUUUGUUUUUCUCAUUUUCGAGCUCGUUUAUUUUAUUUUGUUGAUUAUUUAUUUGAUUAAAAUAUUCUUGAAUUUGUUCUUCAUAUGUACUUAUUUUUUCUCUAUCUUCUUUUAGUGUUAUUAUUUUAUUUUCGUAAUUAUUUUUUUGAUUAUCUAACUCAUUUGUUAAUGUGUCUAUUUUUUUUUUAAAAUAAGUUUCUUUUUCAUUAAUUUCAUUGUUUAAAAUAUCUAUACGUCUAUCGUAAGAUUGUUUUAUUUUAUCAACUUCGUCAUUGUAAAUAUUUUUUAAUUUUUCCAUCUCUUCUUUUAUAUCUUCUACACUCUUACUAAGUAUUUUAUUUUUUUCAUUUAACAUUUUAUUUUCUUCUUUUGUUAUAAUAUCAUUUUUUAAACAUUCUUCUAAUCUUAAUUUUAAUUUAUAUAUUGUACUUUGAUUUAUUAAUUUAGUAUUACUAUACAUUAUUGUGUCAUUAUUUUUAUACUUAUUUUUAUUAUCAUAAACAUUAUUUUUUAUUCUAUUAUUUAUUUUUGGUAUAUACCAUUCAGAAGUUGAGUUUGUAAAAUUAGAAAUUGCAAAAUUUGUCCUGACUGUGUCAUCAUUUUUAUUUUUUUCUCUUACUUGUUCUUCUGUUUUUUCUAAUAUUUGUUGUUCUUCUGUUUUUUCUUUUACUUUUUCUUCUGCUUGUUCUUUUACAUUUUCUUCUGUUCUCUCUCUUAUUUGUUCUUCUUUCUCUUUUAUUAAUAAUUUAUCUUUUUGUUUUUUUUCAUUACUAUCUGUGUCACUGUUUUCAUUGAAUAUGUCAAUAAAUUUUAAACGACAUUUUUUUUCGAUUUUGCU
RNAcentral lists this long non-coding RNA (2072 nucleotides) under Piliocolobus tephrosceles (Ugandan red Colobus). RNAcentral's name for it is "lncRNA (ENSPTEG00000004779.1)". The record is from RNAcentral. Lineage: Eukaryota; Metazoa; Chordata; Mammalia; Primates; Cercopithecidae.